Gallus gallus (chicken) is the source of this 651-nucleotide long non-coding RNA. Lineage: Eukaryota; Metazoa; Chordata; Aves; Galliformes; Phasianidae. The record is from Ensembl.
GUCCCUGAAGACCUCUGAAUCUCAGUAGCUAAUGAGGCUUACAGAAGGGAGCUCGAGAGAGGAAAACUUACUGGCAGUGAGCAGUACUGGUGAGAGCUCCAGGAUUGAGCAAGUUUUGCAGGGGACAAUUAAAAGUGAUUGCAUCAGCGUUUGGGGCUUUUGCCUAUUUCCAGCUCGACCCUCCAUGAUCUGUGUGUUGGCUGCGGGCAGCAAGGUGGUUUUUACUGGAUUACCAAAUAGAGAACAGAAAUAACUCUCCUGCUGGCCUUGCUGAACUUCUUCCACCCCGAAGAAAAGCUGCACGUGGGAGAAGGCAGACGUGUCCGCCGGAACAAGAGGAGUAAGGGCAGCGAGGGGCCGGAUGAGGCACACCCAGAGAAGCCUAACAGCUGUUGGAACAUUCAGAGUGACAUCCAGGUGGUGGUUCUCAGCUCUCUUGCAGCAGUGGCAGACAAACACCGACCCGUUGCUGCAAACAAACGGAGGUGGAAGUUGGGUUCAGGGGAUCCUCUCACUCCAGGUGUGAUGUGUAAGGCAGAGCACAGACAGCAGAAACAUCUUCAGCUCAUCCUCGGCUCACACUGCUUGGAGCUCAGUUCUUCUGAAAGUACUCUUGAUUUCUGAAACUGCUUUGAGGCCAAAUGCACUGCA